RNAcentral lists this ribosomal RNA (437 nucleotides) under uncultured bacterium. Its description in RNAcentral is "partial 16S ribosomal RNA". It matches the Rfam family "Bacterial small subunit ribosomal RNA", at positions 29 to 507 of the family's 1533-position model. The record is from RNAcentral.
AGCGAACGCUGGCGGCAGGCUUAACACAUGCAAGUCGAGCGGGCAUCCUUGUGGUGUCCGCGGCAGACGGGUGAGUAACGCGUGGGAACGUGCCCUUCGGUUCGGAAUAACUCAGGGAAACUUGAGCUAAGACCGGAUACGUGCGAGAGCAGAAAGGUUUAUCUGCCGAAGGAUCGGCCCGCGUCUGAUUAGCUAGUUGGUGAGGUUACGGCUCACCAAGGCGACGAUCAGUAGCUGGUCUGAGAGGAUGAUCAGCCACACUGGGACUGAGACGCGGCCCAGACUCCUACGGGAGGCAGCAGUGGGGAAUAUUGGACAAUGGGGGCAACCCUGAUCCAGCCAUGCCGCGUGAGUGAUGACGGCCUUAGGGUUGUAAAGCUCUUUUCUCCGGGACGAUAAUGACGGUACCGGAGGAAUAAGCCCCGGCUAACUUCGUG